GGGCGCGUAGCUCAGCUGGUUAGAGCACUACGUUGACAUCGUAGGGGUCACUGGUUCAAGUCCGGUCGCGCCCACCA
Molecule: transfer RNA, 77 nt
Filed under: Armatimonadota bacterium
Lineage: Bacteria; Bacillati; Armatimonadota
Description: Armatimonadetes bacterium (groundwater metagenome) tRNA-Val
Rfam family: tRNA
About the family: Transfer RNA (tRNA) molecules are approximately 80 nucleotides in length. Their secondary structure includes four short double-helical elements and three loops (D, anti-codon, and T loops).
Source: RNAcentral